Molecule: RNA transcript, 3795 nt
Organism: Aethalodelphis obliquidens (Pacific white-sided dolphin)
Lineage: Eukaryota; Metazoa; Chordata; Mammalia; Artiodactyla; Delphinidae
Gene: TYMS
Gene name: thymidylate synthetase
Exons: 8
Source: RefSeq, a predicted model, not a curated record
GGUCGCCUCGCCCGCUGCCGCGCUAUGCCCGCCGCCGGCUCCGAGCUGCCGCGCCCGAUGUCGCCGCCCGCCGCGCAGGAGCAGGGCGCCGAGUCGCGGCCGCCGCCGCCGCACGGGGAGCUGCAGUACUUGGGGCAGAUCGAGCACAUUCUCCGCUGCGGCUUUCGGAAGGAUGACCGCACAGGCACCGGCACCCUGUCGGUGUUCGGCAUGCAGGCGCGCUACAGCCUGAGAGAUGAAUUUCCUCUGCUGACAACCAAACGUGUUUUCUGGAAGGGUGUUUUGGAGGAGUUGCUGUGGUUUAUCAAGGGAUCCACAAACGCUAAGGAGCUGUCUUCCAAGGGAGUGAAAAUCUGGGAUGCUAAUGGGUCCCGAGACUUCUUGGACAGCCUGGGAUUCUCCACCAGAGCAGAAGGGGAUUUAGGCCCAGUUUAUGGCUUUCAGUGGAGGCAUUUUGGGGCCGAAUACAAAGAGAUGGAUUCAGAUUAUUCAGAUAAAGGAGUAGAUCAACUGCAAAAAGUGAUUGACACAAUCAAAACCAACCCUGACGACAGAAGAAUCAUCCUGUGUGCUUGGAAUCCAAAAGAUGUCCCUCUCAUGGCCCUACCCCCGUGCCAUGCCCUUUGCCAGUUCUACGUGGUGAACGGUGAGCUGUCCUGCCAGCUGUACCAGAGGUCAGGAGACAUGGGCCUGGGUGUGCCCUUUAACAUCGCCAGCUACGCCCUGCUCACCUACAUGAUCGCACACAUCACGGGCCUGAAGCCAGGUGACUUUGUACACACUUUGGGAGAUGCACACAUUUACCUGAAUCACAUUGAGCCGCUGAAAAUUCAGCUUCAGCGAGAACCAAGGCCUUUCCCCAAGCUCAAAAUACUUCGAAAAGUUGAGAAAAUUGAUGACUUCAAGGCUGAAGACUUUCAGAUUGAAGGCUACAAUCCUCACCCGACCAUUAAAAUGGAAAUGGCUGUUUAGAGUGCUUUUGAAGGAGUUGUUUGAAGGAUAUUUACAGGUGAAAGUUCAUUUUGCUCUAAAGGAGAAGGAACUAGGUCAAAACCUGUUGGUGAUCUAUCAGUUAUUAUUCAUUAACUUUUAAGGAUGUUGCCACUGGCAAAUAGAACUGUGCUGGUUCUCUUAGUAAUAAAAGACCUGGAGUUAGGGUAACUCACUGAGGAUGUAUGUAAAUGUAGAGAUUGUGAAUACAGACAGGAAGGAGAAAAUAUAUAUACUCUUAAUUCAAACUUUGUUUUUAUGAAAAUGGUCAGUGAAUUUCAAGAAUUAUGUAUAACUAUUGCCCAAAUUGGAGCAAGCUGGAUAACACCAUCAGUCAUAAUGCUUAGUGUGGUUAUGAACAUAUUUGUUUUAUAUCUUGCUGUAAUGUUCUGCAUUCAUGUUUUGUUUUGUUUUUUAAUUCCAUGUUGCCAUUUAUCUGCUCAGUUCCUGCCUAAAACAGAUUUAACUGAACCCUCCUAAACAAACAUACCUGUGCUGUGUUCUCUUUUGGAUGCUGCUUAGAUGGUUUAAUGUCUAGGUACCAGCACUUGAUAGAAAUUUUAACAUCUUCCUGGACUUUGAGACAGUUGGAUCUACUUUUGUUUAAAGAUUACAUAGGAGAAUGUUUUUUGCUGAAAGAAUCAAGUAAUGAUGACUAAGCUGAUGCCUGAGGUUAGUAUGACUUUCAGCUGAACUUGUUCUGAUUGGUAGGAUGAAUUUUUUUUUCUAUUUUUGUAAAACCAUACCCAAGAAAUUUUAAGCCUUUUCACUUAAAGCAAAAGCUGUUAAGCAUUCAGCUCUAAUUCCCUUGAGCAGCAAGGAGCUUCUCCCAAACUUCACCAUCUGGAUACUGGUGUUUCUUUACAGACUCCUCCUUCAUUUCUGUUGAAUAACCAGCAUCCUAUCAAAGACAAAAAAUGGAAUCAUGUUAAUAACCACCUAGAACAAAAGUCAUUUAUUUUACUUAUUUCUGCUGUUCCUAGAAAUGCUUUUAAAUCUAAGUCAGAGGCAACUGAAUUAAUGUUUUAAAAAUAAGUUUGCAGGUUGUUUGAAAUGGGGGAGAGGGACGUCCUUUAUUGGCUGCUUCUCAGGAUUAGUGAACUAUUCACACCCUUUGAUAGUUCAACCUCUGUUGGUGAAAAUGAGCCCCGAUCUCUUGAAUAGACGGAUAAAUGGCGCAGACAACACAACUGCAGUCAGAACCUUUCACUAACUUGCUAGAUGGUGCCGGGGUUUUUUUUUAGUUUUGUUUUGUUUGGGGCAGGAAGGACCCAAGGAGUGCAUGUUUUCAGGUCCAGCUGGUGAGGAAAGGCUGGCGUGAGAGAAGCCUUGUCGGGGGCAUCCUGACCUUCAGGUCUGGGGAAUUUGACUAAAGAGCGAUAUGUUUCUAGAUAUUGAAAACAGACUUGAAGGAGACAAAGCUUUGUGCUCUGGGGUCUAGCUCCUGAGAAGAGUAGGGCAGGGCUGGCAGUGCCUCCUCGGGGAUGGGGGUGGGGCCUCCCUGGCCAAACUCACCUUAGGAGGCAUGUAGGAAGCCUUCUUGAUUAUCACGGGGUACUUGAAGUGCUCGUGCAGGUGGUCGACGUAUUCACACAUCCUGGGAGGAAGGAAUCGGGUUGGGGUAAAAAUGCCUUCAGUUAGAUAGUUCAUGUGGUGCUGUUAGGGCAAAGGGGCGAGCACCACUAAGAAAGGAUGGACUCUGCCAAGGCCUGGCUGAUACCAUGUAUUUCUAUGUAAGUCCCUCAGCCUCUGGACUUCAGGUUCUUCUCUGUAAGGUAAAGCAGUAUGGGGGAUUGGAUGAAAUGAACUGUGAAGUAUCUUUUAACUUAAGGUUUUGGGAACCAAAAGGCAUCAAUUUAGACUUAGACGUAUCUGGGAUUUGGGUGCCUCUAGCCAAAAGGUGAACAGAUUAAAGUCACCAAAUGAGGUCCCUUCCAGCUACACAAAUGAUUUAGAAGAGCACAGGUUUUAGGAUCAGACCAAUCUGUUCAAAUUUGGUGUCAGCCACUGUCUAGUUUUGUGACUUGGGGCAAGUGACCUAACUCUACUGCCUUACUUCAGCCAUUGGUUAAUGAACAGCUGAGAUGAGCAGGCCAUGUGUCCAGUGCUGGGGACACAAAGGAACUGGUAAGAGAGGGCCUUGUGGUUUCAAUGGCCGUAGAUACCAAGUUGUUGACUAUAAUAUGUACUGUGUAUAAUCUAUAAAGAACAGGCUACAGAUGAAGAACCGGCCGCUUGGGAGAGGACAGCGGGCCUUGAAGAAUGAAUAGGGAAGCGGUGCUCCACACACAGGGUUACAAAGCAGGUGACAGCACACGGCAUCUCUGUCUGGUGGCUGUCCCUCCUGCAUGGUGGCAUUCCCAAACAGUGAGGUCUGCUUUCAGGGGGUGGCAUGAGGUUCUCACCCACUCAUGGGCGGGCAUAGUGCCCAGUGGGUCAGAGCUGACCCUCUUUUGUAUUCCUCAAAACUUUGCAGGACCUGUCAAGGUUGGUUGGAGCCCCUCCCUUAGUCCUGCUUUAAGGAACUGAAAUGAGGGGGCAAAAGCAGAAUAACCCAGGAGUGUUCGUUUUUCUAGUUUAAAAUAUCUCAGGUUUAAAAUACCCAGCUGCAGAAAGAACCAUUACUUUAUAGUUGAAGUCCCCGUAGACCCUCACAGGUCCCACUUCUCAAUCCUGAACUUGAUGUUCACCUUUCCCGUGCAUGUCCUCAUGCUUUCACUGUAUACUCCUAGUGAUCUUUCUGCACUAUUGCAUUUAAUUCUUGGAGGAGAGAAAGGCAUAAUAAAGUUGUAUGUCUGCAGGUGA